CAAUACUGAGUGGCAAACGGGUGAGUAUAAUGUGGGAAUCUGCCUUUUGGUUCGGAAUAACACGAGGAAACUUGUGCUAAUACCGGAUAAGUCCUAACGGAGAAAGUUUUAAUGCCAAAAGAUGAGCCCGCAUUUGAUUAGCUAGUUGGUAAGGUAAAAGCUUACCAAGGCGACAAUCAAUAGCUGAUUUGAGAGGGCGACCGGCCACACUGGGACUGAGACACGGCCCAGACUCC
This 236-nucleotide ribosomal RNA is filed under the name uncultured bacterium. RNAcentral describes it as "partial 16S ribosomal RNA". It matches the Rfam family "Bacterial small subunit ribosomal RNA", at positions 86 to 339 of the family's 1533-position model. The record is from RNAcentral.